This 696-nucleotide ribosomal RNA is filed under the name Trichuris sp. 2 ARS-2017. RNAcentral's name for it is "12S ribosomal RNA". Lineage: Eukaryota; Metazoa; Nematoda; Enoplea; Trichinellida; Trichuridae. The record is from RNAcentral.
UAAAGUAUCUUUUGGCUUUCUAAAAUAUUUUGAUAAAUUUAUUUUGAUGCGUAUAUACACAAAAUAAUACUAUGCAACGUAUAACGGCAUGUACUAUCUUUAGAUGAUCAAUAGGUGUGCCAGCUAUCGCGGUUAUACCCUAAUAUUAUAUUUAUACUCAUUAUAUUUUACAUUGCUUAUAUAUCUAACAAUAUAAAGUUUGCAAAUUAAAGUGAAAUUAUAUUUUGUUUAAUAAUGUUCAUUGUAAAAUCAAAUUUAGCGUUAAAACUAGGAUUAGAGACCCUAUUAUUCUAAACUUAAGAAAUUAAGGAGUAUGUUGAUAAAUAAACUUAAUUAAGAUGGCGGUAAAAUUCUUAUUAGAGGAGACUGUUCUGUAAUCGAUAGCCCUCGUUAUAAUUCUUUUUUUAAAUUAUGUAUAUCGCCGUUGAAACUUGAUUUUAGAUUAAGUUGUUUAAUUCAAAAACUUUAUGUCAACAGGUCAAGAUACAAAUAAUAAAAAAGUAUGAAAUGGUCUACAACUAAAAAUUAUUUAAUUAAAACAUAAAAAUUUAUUUUUUUAUGGUUUAUUGGAUUUAACAGUAAUCUUAACUAACAAAUAGAUUAAUGUGAUUAAAAACAAUUUUAUGCACAUAUCGCCCGUCACCCUCAUAAGAGGUAAGUCGUAACAAAGUAGAUUAUAUGGAAAGAUAAUCUAGA